RNAcentral lists this ribosomal RNA (253 nucleotides) under uncultured bacterium. RNAcentral describes it as "partial 16S ribosomal RNA". It matches the Rfam family "Bacterial small subunit ribosomal RNA", at positions 524 to 776 of the family's 1533-position model. The record is from RNAcentral.
UACAGAGGGUGCGAGCGUUAAUCGGAAUUACUGGGCGUAAAGCGCACGUAGGUGGCGACGUAAGUCGGGUGUGAAAGCCCCGGGCUCAACCUGGGAAUUGCAUUCGAGACUGCAUUGCUGGAGUACGGAAGAGGAAGGCGGAAUUCCCGGUGUAGCGGUGAAAUGCGUAGAUAUCGGGAGGAACAUCAGUGGCGAAGGCGGCCUUCUGGUCCAGUACUGACACUCAAGUGCGAAAGCGUGAGGAGCAAACAGG